Molecule: ribosomal RNA, 501 nt
Filed under: Pezizaceae sp. GB387
Lineage: Eukaryota; Fungi; Ascomycota; Pezizomycetes; Pezizales; Pezizaceae
Description: eukaryotic LSU rRNA
Rfam family: Eukaryotic large subunit ribosomal RNA
Source: RNAcentral
AGGUAGGGAUACCCGCUGAACUUAAGCAUAUCAAUAAGCGGAGGAAAAGAAACCAACAGGGAUUGCCCUAGUAACGGCGAGUGAAGCGGCAAAAGCUCAGAUUUGGAAUCUGGCGCCAUUGUGGCGUCCGAGUUGUAGUCUGAAGAGGGGAAUUCAAGUGUAGCUUUGGCUUAAGUUCCUUGGAACAGGACGUCAUAGAGGGUGAGAACCCCGUUAAUGGCCUUUGUCUUAUGCUUAUGUGAAUCUCCUUCAAUGAGUCGAGUUGUUUGGGAAUGCAGCUCUAAAUGGGUGGUAAAUUCCAUCUAAAGCUAAAUACUGGCAAGAGACCGAUAGCGCACAAGUAGAGUGAUCGAAAGAUGAAAAGAACUCUGAACAGAGAGUUAAAUAGUACGUGAAAUUGUUGAAAGGGAAGCACUUGUAACCAGACACGCUUGCAGCUGAUCAAUCCUGAUUUUUGAGGAUGCACUCAGUUGCUAGCGAGUCAACAUCAGUCAUGGUGAC